AUCCCAGGGUGGGGGCACCUUCUCAAUAAGUCGUUAUACCUCUCCCAUGCAUCAUAUAUGGUUUCUUAGUCAAUUUGAAUGAAGGAAGAGAUAUCAUUCCUCAACUU
Molecule: small nucleolar RNA, 107 nt
Filed under: Gossypium barbadense (sea-island cotton)
Lineage: Eukaryota; Viridiplantae; Streptophyta; Magnoliopsida; Malvales; Malvaceae
Also listed under: 2 other names
Description: Plant small nucleolar RNA R71
Rfam family: Plant small nucleolar RNA R71
About the family: R71 is a member of the C/D box family of snoRNAs containing the C (UGAUGA) and D (CUGA) box motifs. Multiple nearly identical copies of this snoRNA have been identified in Arabidopsis, and it is thought to function as a 2'-O-ribose methylation guide for 18S ribosomal RNA.
Source: Rfam by way of RNAcentral